RNAcentral lists this transfer RNA (24 nucleotides) under Primula cuneifolia. RNAcentral's name for it is "partial tRNA-Phe(GAA)". Lineage: Eukaryota; Viridiplantae; Streptophyta; Magnoliopsida; Ericales; Primulaceae. The record is from RNAcentral.
GUCAGGAUAGCUCAGCUGGUAGAG